GGCCGGCUAGCUCAGUUGGUUAGAGCGUGGUGCUAAUAGUAUGUGGCAAUGCGUCACUCAAUUACUACGCCAAGGUCGCGGGUUCGACCCCCUCGCUGGCCA
Cytidiella melzeri is the source of this 102-nucleotide non-coding RNA. Lineage: Eukaryota; Fungi; Basidiomycota; Agaricomycetes; Polyporales; Irpicaceae. The record is from the annotation of a GenBank genome assembly.